UACGGGGGGGGCAAGCGUUGUUCGGAAUUACUGGGCGUAAAGGGCUCGUAGGCGGCCAACUAAGUCAGACGUGAAAUCCCUCGGCUUAACCGGGGAACUGCAUCUGAUACUGGAUGGCUUGAGUUCGGGAGAGGGAUGCGGAAUUCCAGGUGUAGCGGUGAAAUGCGUAGAUAUCUGGAGGAACACCGGUGGCGAAGGCGGCAUCCUGGACCGGGAUUGACACUGAGGCGCGAAAGCCAGGGGAGCAAACGGG
RNAcentral lists this ribosomal RNA (253 nucleotides) under uncultured bacterium. RNAcentral describes it as "partial 16S ribosomal RNA". It matches the Rfam family "Bacterial small subunit ribosomal RNA", at positions 524 to 776 of the family's 1533-position model. The record is from RNAcentral.